GACGAACGCUGGCGGCGUGCUUAACACAUGCAAGUCGAACGGAAAGGCGCGGCUUUUGUGGGGUGCUCGAGUGGCGAACGGGUGAGUAACACGUGAGUAACCUGCCCUUGACUUUAUGAUAACUUCACGAAACUGGGGCUAAUACCGGAGAGGAGCUCCUGCUGCAUGUUGGGGGUUGGAAAGUUUCGGCGGUGGGGGAUGGACUCGCGGCUUAUCAGCUUGUUUGUGUGGUAGUGGCUUACCAAGGCUUUGACGGGUAGCCCGCCUGAGAGCGUGACCGGCCACAAUGGGACUGAGAUACGGAGCAGACUCGUACGGGAGGCAGCAGUGGAGAAUAUUGCACAACGGGCGGACGCCUGAUGCAGAAACGCCGCGUGCGGGAUGCCGGCCUUCGGGUUGUAAACAGCUUUCGCCUGUGACGAAGCGUGAGUGACGGUAACGGGUAAAGAAGCACCGGCUAACUACGUG
This 468-nucleotide ribosomal RNA is filed under the name uncultured bacterium. RNAcentral describes it as "partial 16S ribosomal RNA". It matches the Rfam family "Bacterial small subunit ribosomal RNA", at positions 28 to 507 of the family's 1533-position model. The record is from RNAcentral.